Molecule: ribosomal RNA, 535 nt
Filed under: Bifidobacterium pseudocatenulatum
Lineage: Bacteria; Bacillati; Actinomycetota; Actinomycetes; Bifidobacteriales; Bifidobacteriaceae
Description: bacterial SSU rRNA
Rfam family: Bacterial small subunit ribosomal RNA
Source: RNAcentral
UAAUGCCGGAUGCUCCGACUCCUCGCAUGGGGUGUCGGGAAAGAUUAUAUCGGUAUGGGAUGGGGUCGCGUCCUAUCAGGUAGUCGGCGGGGUAACGGCCCACCGAGCCUACGACGGGUAGCCGGCCUGAGAGGGCGACCGGCCACAUUGGGACUGAGAUACGGCCCAGACUCCUACGGGAGGCAGCAGUGGGGAAUAUUGCACAAUGGGCGCAAGCCUGAUGCAGCGACGCCGCGUGCGGGAUGACGGCCUUCGGGUUGUAAACCGCUUUUGAUCGGGAGCAAGCCUUCGGGUGAGUGUACCUUUCGAAUAAGCACCGGCUAACUACGUGCCAGCAGCCGCGGUAAUACGUAGGGUGCAAGCGUUAUCCGGAAUUAUUGGGCGUAAAGGGCUCGUAGGCGGUUCGUCGCGUCCGGUGUGAAAGUCCAUCGCUUAACGGUGGAUCUGCGCCGGGUACGGGCGGGCUGGAGUGCGGUAGGGGAGACUGGAAUUCCCGGUGUAACGGUGGAAUGUGUAGAUAUCGAAAAAGAACACC